GUAAAGUUUGAGAGGAGCCCCUGCAGUCUUUAUAGAGUGCUGAAGGCAGAGAAGCACUUUGGCAGUUUGGAGAGAGACAGAGAGAGAGGCUACAGAAAUGCAGAGAGAGGGAUGCGAGUGUGGGUGAAGGAAAGAGUGAGAGACUACGGAUAGGAGCAGGAGAGGUGCUGUCCAGACCAGAAGGGGCCUCUGAAAGUGUUGCAUAGAAACAGAGGAGAAACAGAGUGAGACACUCAGACUACGACCUCAAAGACAUCAGAGAGGAAGGGGAACCUGUGACAGAGCCUGCUAGCCUGCCUCGCUGCCAGACAAACUUUACUCACACAAGCUUCUCUCACUUCACCCAUACUUUACACUGGGUUUGCUGUGCGCCAUGGCAUGUACUUGCACUUCUAUGCUUUCUUCGAAUCACUCGAAUGCCUCACCCUCCUCUCUCACAUUUUACUUCGCUGUUAAUCCACACAGCUGCUCAAAUCAUUAGUCAAUUAAAAAAGAAAAAAAAAACCCCUAUCAAAUUCAGGAGUGUGUGUAUUUUUGUAACAUCCUGCAAUAAACUGACAGGGAAG
Oreochromis niloticus (Nile tilapia) is the source of this 566-nucleotide long non-coding RNA. RefSeq lists it as uncharacterized. The record is from RefSeq and is a predicted model, not a curated record. The transcript is spliced from 3 exons. Lineage: Eukaryota; Metazoa; Chordata; Actinopteri; Cichliformes; Cichlidae.